UGGUGGGGAGACACCCACACAGCCUCAGGGACAGACCCCAAAGUGCUACUUUGCAAAGGUGCAGCACUGUGGUGUGUCCCAGCAUCUGCCAUGGCCAGGUUAAAAAAUACAAAAACUUUGCCUACGAGGAGCCAGAGCCUCAAUGCUGAGAUUUGGGGGCUGGGAGAAAGGAUGGGGACAGGUUAGGGGUCUGCGGGAGCAAGGAGGGGUUAAGUGCUCAGGACCCGUCCGUGCCCACCGUCC
Molecule: long non-coding RNA, 243 nt
Filed under: Cairina moschata (Muscovy duck)
Lineage: Eukaryota; Metazoa; Chordata; Aves; Anseriformes; Anatidae
Description: domestica (muscovy Duck (domestic type)) lncRNA (ENSCMMG00000009664.1)
Source: RNAcentral